GUAGGUUAUGGUGAUAUGCGACCAGUUACAAUGGUGGGUAAACUUGUUGGUUCACUUUGUGCCAUAGCUGGUGUAUUGACUAUAGCUCUUCCAGUACCUGUGAUUGUUUCAAAC
Non-coding RNA from Trichobilharzia regenti, 114 nucleotides. The record is from Rfam. NCBI's taxonomy places the organism in Eukaryota, Metazoa, Platyhelminthes, Trematoda, Strigeidida, Schistosomatidae.